Molecule: ribosomal RNA, 1381 nt
Filed under: uncultured prokaryote
Description: partial 16S ribosomal RNA
Rfam family: Bacterial small subunit ribosomal RNA
Source: RNAcentral
GCAGGCUUAACACAUGCAAGUCGAGGGGUAACGAUGUAGCUUGCUACAGGCGACGACCGGCGCACGGGGGAGUAACGCGUAUGCAACCUACCUUAUACUGGGGGAUAGCCCAAAGAAAUUUGGAUUAAUACCGCAUAACAUAUUUGAAUCGCAUGUUUGAAUAAUUAAAGCUCCGGCGGUUAGAGAUGGGCAUGCGUGCUAUUAGAUAGUUGGUGAGGUAACGGCUUACCAAGUCUACGAUGGCUACGGGGUCUUAAAGGAUGGUCCCGCACACUGGUACUGAGACACGGACCAGACUCCUACGGGAGGCAGCAGUGAGGAAUAUUGGUCAAUGGACGCAAGUCUGAACCAGCCAUGCCGCGUGCAGGACGACGGCCCUACGGGUUGUAAACUGCUUUUAUACGGGAAGAAUGUUCUCUACGUGUAGAGAUUCGACGGUACCGUAUGAAUAAGCACCGGCUAACUCCGUGCCAGCAGCCGCGGUAAUACGGAGGGUGCAAGCGUUAUCCGGAUUUAUUGGGUUUAAAGGGUUCGCAGGCGGAAUAGUAAGUCAGGGGUGAAAGUUUGCGGCUCAACCGUAAAAUUGCCUUUGAUACUGUUAUUCUUGAGUACAUUUGAGGUAGGCGGAAUGUAGUGUGUAGCGGUGAAAUGCUUAGAUAUACUACAGAACACCAAUUGCGAAGGCAGCUUACUAAACUGUUACUGACGCUGAUGCACGAAAGCGUGGGGAUCGAACAGGAUUAGAUACCCUGGUAGUCCACGCCGUAAACGAUGAUUACUAGUUGUUUGCAAUACAUAGUAAGCGACAAAGCGAAAGCAUUAAGUAAUCCACCUGGGGAGUACGUUCGCAAGAAUGAAACUCAAAGGAAUUGACGGGGGGCCCGCACAAGCGGAGGAACAUGUGGUUUAAUUCGAUGAUACGCGAGGAACCUUACCUGGACUUAAAUGGGGAGUGACAGGCUUAGAGAUAGGCUUUUCUUCGGACACUCUUCAAGGUGCUGCAUGGUUGUCGUCAGCUCGUGCCGUGAGGUGUCGGGUUAAGUCCCAUAACGAGCGCAACCCACGUCUUUAGUUACCAGCACGUAAUGGUGGGCACUCUAGAGAGACUGCCGGUGUAAACCGCGAGGAAGGUGUGGAUGACGUCAAAUCAGCACGGCCCUUACGUCCAGGGCUACACACGUGUUACAAUGGCCGGUACAGAGGGCAGCUACUAUGUGAAUAGAUGCGAAUCUCCAAAACCGGUCUCAGUUCGGAUCGAAGUCUGCAACCCGACUUCGUGAAGCUGGAAUCGCUAGUAAUCGCGCAUCAGCCAUGGCGCGGUGAAUACGUUCCCGGGCCUUGUACACACCGCCCGUCAAACCAUGGAAGCCGGGGGUACCUG